Molecule: non-coding RNA, 162 nt
Organism: Arachis ipaensis
Lineage: Eukaryota; Viridiplantae; Streptophyta; Magnoliopsida; Fabales; Fabaceae
Source: RefSeq, a predicted model, not a curated record
AUAAUAUUUUUUACAACUUUAUGAUGAAAAAUACUUACAUGUGAGAGAAAGUAUGAGGAGCUAAUGGAAUAUUUAUACAAUGUGUACAAUGAAGGUUUAUGGAGUAUUAGAGAUAUAACCAUUAGUGUUACCUUUUCCAUCAGCUGAAGCUUUUGGGAUGAG